This 253-nucleotide ribosomal RNA is filed under the name uncultured bacterium. Its description in RNAcentral is "partial 16S ribosomal RNA". It matches the Rfam family "Bacterial small subunit ribosomal RNA", at positions 524 to 776 of the family's 1533-position model. The record is from RNAcentral.
UACAGAGGUCUCAAGCGUUGUUCGGAUUCAUUGGGCGUAAAGGGUGUGUAGGUGGCGCCGUAAGUCGGGUGUGAAAUUUCGGAGCUUAACUCCGAAACUGCAUUCGAUACUGCGGUGCUUGAGGACUGGAGAGGAGAUUGGAAUUCACGGUGUAGCAGUGAAAUGCGUAGAUAUCGUGAGGAAGACCAGUGGCGAAGGCGGAUCUCUGGACAGUUCCUGACGCUGAGGCACGAAGGCCAGGGGAGCAAACGGG